GGAGGGUAUAGCUCAGUGGUAGAGUGCGUGCUUAGCAUGCAUAAGGUCCUGGGUUCAAUCCCCAGUACCUCCA
Molecule: transfer RNA, 73 nt
Filed under: Vicugna pacos (alpaca)
Lineage: Eukaryota; Metazoa; Chordata; Mammalia; Artiodactyla; Camelidae
Description: tRNA-Ala (AGC) (tRNA-Ala-AGC-629-1)
Rfam family: tRNA
About the family: Transfer RNA (tRNA) molecules are approximately 80 nucleotides in length. Their secondary structure includes four short double-helical elements and three loops (D, anti-codon, and T loops). Further hydrogen bonds mediate the characteristic L-shaped molecular structure. tRNAs have two regions of fundamental functional importance: the anti-codon, which is responsible for specific mRNA codon recognition, and the 3' end, to which the tRNAs corresponding amino acid is attached (by aminoacyl-tRNA synthetases). tRNAs cope with the degeneracy of the genetic code in two manners: having more than one tRNA (with a specific anti-codon) for a particular amino acid; and 'wobble' base-pairing, i.e. permitting non-standard base-pairing at the 3rd anti-codon position.
Source: RNAcentral